Non-coding RNA from Dermacentor andersoni, 1223 nucleotides. NCBI's taxonomy places the organism in Eukaryota, Metazoa, Arthropoda, Arachnida, Ixodida, Ixodidae. The record is from RefSeq and is a predicted model, not a curated record.
GUUUUAUUUGUUUAUUUUGGCUACAUUGCGCCAAUUGCGCUUCCAUAGAAUAAAGAAACGCGCUUCCACGCGCUUGCCGACUCGAUCGCAAGGGGACAGCCUGAUCAACAUCAAUAUCAGCAGCAAUGGCGGAUUUGCGCUUGCCAUGGCGCUUGCAACGUUUUCAAUAGUUUUCGACUAUUAAGUGAUGCUUUUGCUAUUUUAACGUGUGGAGGUUCAUUGUACGUCUGUUUUUUCAAGUUUGGCAUGUGUUUUAACACAUGUGAAGGUGUAGUCUUUUCUUCUUCAGCGGAUAUUUGUACAAGACCCCGUUCACCGUCUAUCAGCUCUAGCUCGGCAAGAAUAAAGCGGUUCCUUAGAAGUGGUGGAGGUGCUGGGGUUCUGCAUACCAAGGACGUAUAAGGUCACAAAGCUGCACCCAGGUAGAGGCAGAAUCCAAAAAUGCUUGUGUACUUAAGUAUAGCUGCACAUUACAGAAUCCGAGGCCCUCAAGAUUUAUCCGUAGCCCUCGUGUAGCCCACGAGUUCCAUAUUUUUUAUUGGGAUUGAAGAGUAACGUUUGUGCUGUAUCCUUCUAUUUCAGACUAAAUAAUGUGCAUGCAAAAUUAUAUCUUCAUUACUUUACACCAUUGCACCAAUAUCUGUUGUGCGUUGAUUUUCUGAUGUCCUUGCAUUUGCUAUAACAAGGAUUUUUAAAAAUCAGCCACAAAAGAAAAAAAUAAAUGGUCAAGGAACGAAGUGGUGUGUAGCAGCUCCCUUUUUUUUAAUCGACAGCAAGUUUUGCACUCGUGUGUUAGCAACACUGUUUCGCCAGUUGCGUACUUCAAAAGAAGUGUUACCUUUCUGCUUUGGAACUUUGUGGUUUUGUUCUGCCAGCUGCUUGACCAACUCAAGCAAAAUGUACUUUGGAUAUUCCACAAAUUCAUUCUGUAUGCAUUUGGUACAAUAAAAUUUGUUUCAAGAAUGGACAAAUGCAGUGAUGGUUAAUUGAAAACUGCAACAUGCUGAGUUUCAUGCUUCAUUAAUUUUCUCAGCCCCAAAGAAAGCAUGCGAGGUUUGAAAAUGUAUCAUGUGACAUUAGUGCACUCGGUCUAGAGAACUGAUUAAUGCUGCACAUACAUUGAACAUGAUGGCCAUGACCAUCCCUCAUGAAUUGGCAUUCCCUGCCUAAACCACCUCACCAAGACAGCUUGUUAACAGCAAGAAAGCUGACGGGGCUUCCAA